CCCGGGUUAGUUUAGUUGGCAGAGCGCUCCGCUGGAAAUGGAGAGGUCCCGGGUUGGAUACCCGGACCAGGCG
RNAcentral lists this transfer RNA (73 nucleotides) under Ixodes scapularis (black-legged tick). It matches the Rfam family "tRNA". Rfam says of the family: Transfer RNA (tRNA) molecules are approximately 80 nucleotides in length. The record is from Rfam by way of RNAcentral. Lineage: Eukaryota; Metazoa; Arthropoda; Arachnida; Ixodida; Ixodidae.